AUUCCAGCUCCAAUAGCGUAUAUUAAUGUUGCUGCAGUUAAAAAGCUCGUAGUUGGAUUUGUGGUGGGCCCGGUGGCUCGGCCUUAGUUGGCCGUUGCUGUUUUGGGUCCGCCAUCCUUGGGUGGAAUCAGUGUGGCAUUAAGUUGUCGCGCUGGGGAUGCCCAUCGUUUACUGUGAAAAAAUUAGAGUGUUCAAAGCAGGCUUACGCCGUUGAAUAUAUUAGCAUGGAAUAAUGAGAUAGGACCUUGGUACUAUUUUGUUGGUUUGCGCACCGAGGUAAUGAUUAAUAGGGACAGUUGGGGGUAUUCGUAUUCCAUUGUCAGAGGUGAAAUUCUUGGAUUUCUGGAAGACGAACUACUGCGAAAGCAUUUACCAAGGAUGUUUUCAUUAAUCAAGAACGAAAGUUAGGGGAUCGAAGAUGAUUAGAUACCAUCGUAGUCGUCA
RNAcentral lists this ribosomal RNA (444 nucleotides) under Phaeodactylum tricornutum. RNAcentral describes it as "SSU rRNA". It matches the Rfam family "Eukaryotic small subunit ribosomal RNA", at positions 582 to 1029 of the family's 1831-position model. The record is from RNAcentral. Lineage: Eukaryota; Bacillariophyta; Bacillariophyceae; Surirellales; Neidiaceae.